RNAcentral lists this ribosomal RNA (973 nucleotides) under uncultured bacterium. Its description in RNAcentral is "bacterial SSU rRNA". It matches the Rfam family "Bacterial small subunit ribosomal RNA", at positions 110 to 1099 of the family's 1533-position model. The record is from RNAcentral.
GUAACAUAUAGUUAAUGUACCUUCAAGACUGGGAUAGCCACUGGAAACGGUGAUUAAUACUAGAUAUACCUUCAUAUCACAAGCUAUGAAGGGAAACGUUUUUUCGCUUGAAGAUCAGACUAUAUCCCAUCAGUUAGUUGGUAGGGUAAUGGCCUACCAAGGCAAUGACGGGUAGCGGGUUUGAGAGGAUGAUCCGCCACACUGGUACUGAGACACGGACCAGACUCCUACGGGAGGCAGCAGUGAGGAAUAUUGCACAAUGGAGGAAACUCUGAUGCAGCAACGCCGCGUGGAGGAUGACACAUUUCGGUGUGUAAACUCCUUUUAUGAGUCAAGAAAAUGACGGUCGCUCAUGAAUAAGCACCGGCUAACUCCGUGCCAGCAGCCGCGGUAAUACGGAGGGUGCAAGCGUUACUCGGAAUCACUGGGCGUAAAGGACGCGUAGGCGGGAUGUCAAGUCAGGUGUGAAAUCCUAUGGCUCAACCAUAGAACUGCAUUUGAAACUGGCAACCUAGAGUAUGGGAGGGGGAGAUGGAAUUAGUGGUGUAGGGGUAAAAUCCGUAGAUAUCACUAGGAAUACCUAAAGCGAAGGCGAUCUCCUGGAACAUAACUGACGCUAAGGCGUGAAAGCGUGGGGAGCAAACAGGAUUAGAUACCCUGGUAGUCCACGCCCUAAACGAUGAACACUAGUCGUCGUGAUGCUUGUCAUUGCGGUGAUGCACUUAACAGAUUAAGUGUUCCGCCUGGGGAGUACGGUCGCAAGAUUAAAACUCAAAGGAAUAGACGGGGACCCGCACAAGUGGUGGAGCAUGUGGUUUAAUUCGAAGAUACGCGAAAAACCUUACCUGGGCCUUGACAUUGAUAGAAUACUGUAGAGAUACGGUAGUGCCCUUCGGGGAGCUUGAAAACAGGUGCUGCACGGCUGUCGUCAGCUCGUGUCGUGAGAUGUUGGGUUAAGUCCCGCAACGAGCGC